RNAcentral lists this transfer RNA (73 nucleotides) under Apaloderma vittatum (bar-tailed trogon). It matches the Rfam family "tRNA". Rfam says of the family: Transfer RNA (tRNA) molecules are approximately 80 nucleotides in length. Their secondary structure includes four short double-helical elements and three loops (D, anti-codon, and T loops). The record is from Rfam by way of RNAcentral. Lineage: Eukaryota; Metazoa; Chordata; Aves; Trogoniformes; Trogonidae.
GGCCAGUUAGCUCAGUCAGUUGAGCAUAGUACUAAAAAUGCUAAGGUAGCGGAUUCGAUUCCGGUUCGGUCCC